This 1002-nucleotide long non-coding RNA is filed under the name Cyanistes caeruleus (blue tit). RNAcentral's name for it is "lncRNA (ENSCCEG00000004355.1)". The record is from RNAcentral. Lineage: Eukaryota; Metazoa; Chordata; Aves; Passeriformes; Paridae.
GAGCGAAGGCACAACCGCAUCAAGUCACGGUUGUGCCUCAGCAGCUGCAUCAACUUCUUUGGACAGCCGUGUCUUCGAUGGCGGCGGGGCCCUGCACGGCCUGAAGGGCUCCGGAGAUUCCGCUGCAAGGCAAAGCGCAGGGAUCCCCAUGGAAGAGGCAGAGGGGCAGAGCGGGGCCGGCACCCACAAAGUGGGGCUGCCUUUGGCCUCGGAGACAGAGACUCGGGCUCAGUUGGGCUGGGCUGCCCCGGGGAAGAGGCUGCAGCAUGCAGAGCUCUGGCCGCCUCUGCUUGGUGCUGUCCAUGGGGCUCAGCCCCUGGGCCGGAUUCCCCAGCCAGGAGCUCAGGCCCCUUCUGCCGCAGGGCAUUGGCCAAAGGGUGCCCAAGAGGCCCUCAAGGUCUGCCCCAUCCCGCCUCCCUGACCCCCCCAGCCCCGCCUCACCUCUCCCCAGCAUCUCUGAAAUCUUCUCUCAAGGGCCCAUCCCAUGGCCAUGCCUAUGAUGAGCACGCCGACCAGCAGGACUGCCCAGGACACCCACAGGAUCUGCUCAGGGUCCGUCUCCUCCGGGUAGAAAUCCUCCGGAAGCAUAGAAGAGGCAUCCGUGCUCUGCUCGAGUUUGCUGGAAUGGUCGAGGGGAUGGGCCAAGAGCAGCAGCACGUAAAGCUGCAGCAGCGAGGAAGAGCCGUGAGCAGCCAUAGAGCUCUGCCGGCAGCACAGAGGCUCUGGGCGUCUCUCUGCAAGCAGGUCUGCCUGGGCUCUGGGGCGCAGCAACAGCUGGCGACAGUUGCCAGGCACCGUGCCGUCGCCAGAGGCUGUGAUGUCACAGAAGCACAGAACGCCCUGGCCUCAGAGAGCCCUGAGAGAAUGUUGAGUCCAACCUGUGAGCCAUGGCGGCAAGCAUGGCCAGCAGAGCGGGGCCCGAGCGCUGCGGCCUGGCUUGCCUUGCCCACCUGCCACAAGGAUGACUCCAGCAGCCCCCUGUCAGGCCAUUGCAGGAUCUAA